This is a long non-coding RNA of Odocoileus virginianus texanus, 882 nucleotides long. RefSeq lists it as uncharacterized. The record is from RefSeq and is a predicted model, not a curated record. NCBI's taxonomy places the organism in Eukaryota, Metazoa, Chordata, Mammalia, Artiodactyla, Cervidae.
CCCAACUCAAAUCAUUUGUUUGUUUUAAUCAAAACCAACAGAGUGCUUAGCUCCUGACGCUCUACAAGGAGUCUUGAGACAGUGUCAAAAGAGAGAAAACUGUACGUUGUUUACAGAUACAGCUACUUUCGGUGAACUUUGUUUCCCAGGAGUGAAGAAACAGCUGCAAGUUUCCUAUAUAUGUGUGCCUAUAUAGCUGUUGCAAGAAAUUGACCAUAGCUCAAUGGACCCAUUUACACUGUCUGAUUAUAUAUAUGGCAUCCCUGAGAAAAUGGGCCUGUAUUUCCUGUGUGGUGUCUCUGGAGGCCUUAUCUUUCUAUUAUGUAUCUUUACUUCCAAAAUGACCUUUGUCCAAGAAAUGAAAGAAGUUUCCGGGUGUAUAAAUUACAAGUUGGACAAGAAAAAGCUACAGGACCAGGAAGAAGAAAACCACAAUGAUGACAGUUCUUCUGGUUCCUCUUUCCAUCACUUUACGCACACCUAUCCAUCCUCAAAUAGCAUGUUUUGCCAUGAACUGACUGCAGCUUUAGAGCAUGUAGCUAAGGGAAGAAACCAAGAAAGAGAUGAAAUCUGGAUAGCCAAAGAACCUAGUUCUUAUGCUAUUUACAAGAUCAAAACUGGCACAAAAUAAAAUGAAACACAAUGUGUGAUUUUUCCAGGUGUACAGACAUGAUUCUAUACUUUAAAUACUGAAAUGCCCCAAAGUCCUGGGUAAUAUGGAUAGAAAAGUAUUAUUGUUAAUAUAUUAGUUUUCAAUUGUCUCAUUUAGACAAUGAGUUUUCAGUUUACAGUAAGGCCCCAGAAGCUAUGUUGCUGUUCAUUUACUCAGUCACUUCUGACAUUUUGCGACCCCAUGGACAGCAGUACGUCAGGCUUCCCUGG